CGCACAAGCGGUGGAGCAUGUGGUUUAAUUCGAUGCAACGCGAAGAACCUUACCUACUCUUGACAUCCAGAGAACUUAGCAGAGAUGCUUUGGUGCCUUCGGGAACUCUGAGACAGGUGCUGCAUGGCUGUCGUCAGCUCGUGUUGUGAAAUGUUGGGUUAAGUCCCGCAACGAGCGCAACCCUUAUCCUUUGUUGCCAGCGGUCCGGCCGGGAACUCAAAGGAGACUGCCAGUGAUAAACUGGAGGAAGGUGGGGAUGACGUCAAGUCAUCAUGGCCCUUACGAGUAGGGCUACACACGUGCUACAAUGGCAUAUACAAAGAGAAGCGACCUCGCGAGAGCAAGCGGACCUCAUAAAGUAUGUCGUAGUCCGGAUUGGAGUCUGCAACUCGACUCCAUGAAGUCGGAAUCGCUAGUAAUCGUGGAUCAGAAUGCCACGGUGAAUACGUUCCCGGGCCUUGUACACACCGCCCGUCACACCAUGGGAGUGGGUUGCAAAAGAAGUAGGUAGCUUAACCUUCGGGAGGGCGCUUACCACUUUGUGAUUCAUGACUGGGGUGAAGUCGUAACAAGGUAACCGUAGGGGAACCUGCGGUUGGAUCACCUCCUUACCUUAAAGAA
Molecule: ribosomal RNA, 621 nt
Filed under: Klebsiella michiganensis
Lineage: Bacteria; Pseudomonadati; Pseudomonadota; Gammaproteobacteria; Enterobacterales; Enterobacteriaceae
Description: bacterial SSU rRNA
Rfam family: Bacterial small subunit ribosomal RNA
Source: RNAcentral